CACGUAGGACGCAAGCGUUGUCCGGAAUUAUUGGGCGUAAAGAGCUCGUAGGCGGUCUGUUGCGUCCGCUGUGAAAACUCGGGGCUUAACCCCGAGCCUGCAGUGGAUACGGGCAGACUAGAGGUAGGUAGGGGAGAAUGGAAUUCCCGGUGUAGCGGUGAAAUGCGCAGAUAUCGGGAAGGACACCCGUGGCGAAGGCGGCUCUCUGGGACGGUACUGACGCUGAGACGCGAAAGCGUGGGGAGCGAACAGG
This 253-nucleotide ribosomal RNA is filed under the name uncultured bacterium. RNAcentral describes it as "partial 16S ribosomal RNA". It matches the Rfam family "Bacterial small subunit ribosomal RNA", at positions 524 to 776 of the family's 1533-position model. The record is from RNAcentral.